RNAcentral lists this small RNA (1743 nucleotides) under Pan troglodytes (chimpanzee). RNAcentral describes it as "unitary pseudogene". Lineage: Eukaryota; Metazoa; Chordata; Mammalia; Primates; Hominidae. The record is from RNAcentral.
AUGGUCACCAGAGGAAAUGCUUGGUUCUAGAAUUUCUUGCAUUUUUAUGGGCUGAAUUGGGCUCUGAAGCCAAAGAAGAGAAAGAAGAAGAACGGACCUGCCGGUUGCUGGGCAAGUGUGUAGAUGCCGAAAACCAUUCCCUUGUUAUUGGAGGACUGUUUCCUAUUGACUCCAGGACCAUCCCAGCAAAUGAGUCUAUUUUGGAGCCAGCAUCAGCAAAAUGUGAAGGGUUUAACUUUCAGAGAUUCCGCUGGAGGAAAGCCAUGAUCCACAUGAUCAAGGAGAUUAAUAAGAGGAAGGAUAUUUUGCCCAACAUCACUUUGGGCUAUCAGAUCUUUGAUACUUGUUUUACCAUCUCCAAAUCAGUGGAAGCAGUCUUGGUAUUUCUUACAGGGCAGGAAGAAAACAGGCCCAAUUUUAGAAACAGCACUGGAGCAUUUCCGGCAGGAAUUGUUGGAGCAGGUGGAUCAUUCUUAUCAGUUCCUGCUUCAAGAAUUCUAGGGUUAUAUUAUUUGCCUCAGGUGGGCUAUGCCUCUACCUGUGUGAUUCUUAGUGACAAAUACCAGUUUCCAUCUUGUCUUCGUGUAAUAGCCAGCGAUAAGAUCCAGUCGAAGGCUAUGGUAAAACGUAUCCGACACUUUCCCCAUUCAGUGUGUACUGAUGUGUGUCCUCCUGGGACUCGGAAGGGGAUUCGUUCAGGGGGAACCAAUAUGCUGCUUUGACUCCAUCCCAUGUGCUGAUGGACACGUGUCACGGAAACCAGGUGAAAGGGAGUGUGAACAAUGUGGUGAAGACUAUUGGUCAAAUGUACAAAAGAGCGAGUGUGUGCUGAAAGACGUGGAAUACCUUGCUUAUGAUGAGGCCCUGGGAUUCACACUUGUCAUUCUUUCUGUCUUUGGGGCAUUUGUGGUCUUGGCAGUCACAGCUGUGUAUGUGAUACACAGGCACACUCCCCUGGUGAACGCCAAUGACUGGCAGCUGGGCUUUCUCAUUCAGGUUUCUCUGAUCAUCAUGCUGCUGUCGUCCAUGCUUUUCAUUGACAAGCCACACAACUGGUCCUGCAUGGCUGGCCAGGUCACUCUGGCACUGGGCUUUUCUCUUUGCCUGUCUUGCCUUCUUGGAAAGACUAGUUCACUGUUUUUAGCCUACAGAAUUUCCAAAUCCAAAACUCAACUUACAUCCAUGCACCCCCUUUAUCGGAAAAUCAUUGUGCUAAUCUCUGUUCUAGCGGAGAUUGGCAUAUGUACAGCCUACUUGAUAUUGGAACCUCCCAUGGUAUACAAGAACAUGGAACCUCAAAAUACAAAGAUCAUUCUGCGAUGCAAUGAAAUUUCCAUAGAGUUUUUGUACUCGAUGUUUGGAAUUGAUGCCUUCCUAGCCUUGCUAUGCUUUCUUACAACUUUUGUGGCUCGCCAGUUACCAGAUAAUUACUAUGAAGGAAAAUGCAUCACCUUUGGGAUGCUUGUCUUUUUCAUCAUUUGGAUCUCUUUUGUCCCUGUUUAUUUGAGCACCAAAGGCAAGUUCAAAGUGGCUGUGGAAAUAUUUGCAAUCUUGGCAUCCAGCUAUGGCUUGUUGGGUUGUAUAUUUGCUCCUAAGUGCCUCAUUAUUUUGCUGAGGCCAGAGAGGAACACCAAUGAAAUUGUUUGUGGAAGAGUCUCCACCACAGAUAAUUGCAUCCAACUGACCUCAGCUUUUGUGAGCAGUGAGCUUAACAAUACCACAGUGUCAACUGUUCUGGAUGAC